CAACUCGCCUGCAUGAAGUCGGAAUUGCUAGUAAUCGUAGGUCAGCAUACUACGGUGAAUACGUUCCCGGGCCUUGUACACACCGCCCGUCAAACCAUGAGAGUUGGCAACACCCGAAGUCGGUAGUCUAACCGCAAGGAGGACGCCCGCCGAAGGUGGGGGUUGAUGAUUAGGGUUAAGUCGUAACAAGGUAAC
This 195-nucleotide ribosomal RNA is filed under the name uncultured bacterium. RNAcentral describes it as "partial 16S ribosomal RNA". It matches the Rfam family "Bacterial small subunit ribosomal RNA", at positions 1308 to 1500 of the family's 1533-position model. The record is from RNAcentral.